RNAcentral lists this ribosomal RNA (397 nucleotides) under uncultured bacterium. RNAcentral's name for it is "partial 16S ribosomal RNA". It matches the Rfam family "Bacterial small subunit ribosomal RNA", at positions 523 to 918 of the family's 1533-position model. The record is from RNAcentral.
AUACGUAGGUGGCAAGCGUUGUCCGGAAUUAUUGGGCGUAAAGCGCGCGCAGGCGGUCCUUUAAGUCUGAUGUGAAAGCCCACGGCUCAACCGAGGAGGGUCAUUGGAAACUGGGGGACUUGAGUGCAGAAGAGGAAAGUGGAAUUCCAAGUGUAGCGGUGAAAUGCGUAGAGAUUUGGAGGAACACCAGUGGCGAAGGCGACUUUCUGGUCUGUAACUGACGCUGAGGCGCGAAAGCGUGGGGAGCAAACAGGAUUAGAUACCCUGGUAGUCCACGCCGUAAACGAUGAGUGCUAAGUGUUAGGGGGUUUCCGCCCCUUAGUGCUGCAGCUAACGCAUUAAGCACUCCGCCUGGGGAGUACGGUCGCAAGACUGAAACUCAAAUGAAUUGACGGGG